RNAcentral lists this transfer RNA (73 nucleotides) under Trueperella bialowiezensis. It matches the Rfam family "tRNA". Rfam says of the family: Transfer RNA (tRNA) molecules are approximately 80 nucleotides in length. Their secondary structure includes four short double-helical elements and three loops (D, anti-codon, and T loops). RNAcentral also lists the same sequence under 1 other name. Lineage: Bacteria; Bacillati; Actinomycetota; Actinomycetes; Actinomycetales; Actinomycetaceae. The record is from Rfam by way of RNAcentral.
GCCCCGAUAGCUCAGGGGAUAGAGCGUCUGCCUCCGGAGCAGAAGGUCGUAGGUUCGAAUCCUAUUCGGGGUA